AUUUUACAAUUAUUUAUACUAGUUUAUAUAGGAUAUUUUUAGGAGACUUAUUUUGCAUGAAGUUAGUUUUAACUAAAACUCUGAUUAAGGCAUCUGCAAAAAGCUUGUUUAUUUGUUAUUGAUGAAGCUUCAUGUUAACCUGGUAGUGUUUUACAAUGGCUAGAAAAGUAAAAUAUUUAGAAUGAAUAAUACACUUUUCCUUCAAACUACUCAAUAUGUGAAUGUUACAUCAUUCCAGCCCAUGAAACUGUCUGGAAUAAUCAAAAUUAAUGAAAAACUUUCUGAACUUGUUUGCUACACUUGCAAUACUGAAUCCAGCCUUGUUCAGUACGCUACUUGAACUCGGACUAGGAAGUGGUUCCAAGGGCUAGCUUAGAUAAUUGUUUGUGCAUGAACGACAGGGGCCGAGCUGCUGCCACUGCCACCAUCCCCCACAAUAAAUAAAUAGUGUUCUGGUUUAGUAUUAUGAAUAUUUAGUCAUCUCAUUCACAAGUUUUAUAUAACUCGUCACCUUAGGGGUAUUUGGGGCAUUUGUUUGCAUGAAAUUGUAAACAUAAUUGUGAAACUGAUAUUUUAUGCACUUCAUGUUUGUUUGAUUGCAAGUGUAUGUGAUAGUGGUAAUGCAAAAGCAGAAAACAUAAUCUACAUACUGACUUGAUACUUAUUUGACUUCCCAUAAAAACGUACUCAAGCGAAAUUAUCAUGAAACUGAAAGUGACUUUGUCAUAGUGAUAUAAAUUCAGGACUUUCUUGAUGAGCUUGUUUGUGGUGCUUAAUCCUUGCAAUUAGGAAAAUCUAUUCUGUUACUUCAAAUGCUAUUUGCUUUCUUUACUAUUUACCUACUAGUUAAUUAUGCUGUAAUUUUUUCGAUGGCAAAUAUCAUUUUCGUUUUUGCUUGAUUUGUGGUUCUUAUGAUGAAUUUGUCAGACAACAUCAUGGUUUCUGUGGCAAGUUUCAUCCUCCUUUUAAUGUCUAAAAACUUGAUUUGUGGUCCUUAUGAUGAAUUUGAUAGACAACAUCAAGGCGCCUUGCGAACAAGAAAAUUGCGAAGUUCCAGAAGAACAUCACGAAGAGGGGAUCUGUUCCCGAGACAACUGUGAAGAAAGGAGCUGACUAUCCUGUAGGACCUAUUGUGCUUGGUUUCUUCGUCUUCGUGGUCAUUGGAUCAUAUUCGCUCAGAGUAGAAUGUUCUUAAUAGGUCAAAGUUGACAUAUCACCGCAAAGUUGUGUCAAAAUCAUUUAUGUCACACCAAGAGUAAAAUGUAAGACACUUUUUAGUUUUGCUUAUAAAUUUGUAACUUAUUUGUGUACAUAUAUAUAUGCUAAAAAAGAAAAUAUGUUUGAAUGCAAUAGACAACACAGACUAGAGAGAUACAAUGUGCAAUUGAUCGUUUUGAAACAGAGUAUAGAAGCACAAAAAAAGGAUGUGACUUGGGAGCAAAGGAAAAAUGGGAUCAAAUGAUAAAGAUGCGAGCAGAUACCACUCAACUUGAUGGAACUCGAAUAAUGACAGAUGAGGAAAUUUGUACAAAAGUUCUCAAAGUCAAAUCAGGCUACAUUAAGGGCUGUGGUUUUGGCCCUAGGCCACCACCAUUAAGGUUCUCGUUCUUCGAUGAGUGAAAUGUCUGAAAAGAAUACAGAGUUGCAAGAACAGCUUCAAGAGACCCAACAACUUGUAUGAACUCAAUAACAAAAGAUCGAUGCGCAAAACGAGGUAAUCCAAAGAUUGAAGGAUCAAGCCAACAAGUUUGAGGAGUUUAUGGCUAAUUUUUUCAGGCAACAUCCAUCAGUUUAGUAUUCUUAGUGAAUUUAAACUUGGAGAAAUGUUUAAUUGUGUUAUAUUUGUUAUUGCUUUAGACUAGCAUUAUUACUUAUGGUAGAAACUUGCUUGCU
Asparagus officinalis (garden asparagus) is the source of this 1893-nucleotide long non-coding RNA. RefSeq lists it as uncharacterized. NCBI's taxonomy places the organism in Eukaryota, Viridiplantae, Streptophyta, Magnoliopsida, Asparagales, Asparagaceae. The record is from RefSeq and is a predicted model, not a curated record. The transcript is spliced from 3 exons.